UUACGGGAGGCAGCAGUGGGGAAUGUUGGUCAAUGGAGGCAACUCUGAACCAGCCAUGCCGCGUGCAGGAAGAAGGCGUUCUGCGUUGUAAACUGCUUUUAUACAGGAAGAAAAGACUACGUGUAGUUCUAUGACGGUACUGUACGAAUAAGGACCGGCUAACUCCGUGCCAGCAGCCGCGGUAAUACGGAGGGUCCAAGCGUUGUCCGGAUUUAUUGGGUUUAAAGGGUGCGUAGGCGGUUUUUUAAGUCAGAGGUGAAAGCCCACAGCUUAACUGUGGAACUGCCUUUGAUACUGGAAGACUUGAGUACACUAGAGGUAGGCGGAAUUUAUGAUGUAGCGGUGAAAUGCAUAGAUAUCAUAAAGAACUCCUAUAGCGAAGGCAGCUUACUGGAGUGUAACUGACGCUGAGGCACGAAAGCGUGGGUAGCGAACAGGAUUAGAUACCCCGGUAGUCC
Molecule: ribosomal RNA, 458 nt
Filed under: uncultured bacterium
Lineage: Bacteria
Description: bacterial SSU rRNA
Rfam family: Bacterial small subunit ribosomal RNA
Source: RNAcentral